RNAcentral lists this ribosomal RNA (449 nucleotides) under uncultured bacterium. Its description in RNAcentral is "partial 16S ribosomal RNA". It matches the Rfam family "Bacterial small subunit ribosomal RNA", at positions 29 to 523 of the family's 1533-position model. The record is from RNAcentral.
AACGAACGCUGGCGGCAUGCCUAACACAUGCAAGUCGAACGAGAUCUUCGGGUCUAGUGGCGCACGGGUGCGUAACGCGUGGGAAUCUGCCCUUUGGUUCGGAAUAACAGUUGGAAACGACUGCUAAUACCGGAUGAUGACGAAAGUCCAAAGAUUUAUCGCCAGAGGAUGAGCCCGCGUAGGAUUAGCUAGUUGGUGUGGUUAAGGCGCACCAAGGCGACGAUCCUUAGCUGGUCUGAGAGGAUGAUCAGCCACACUGGGGCGGAGACACGGCCCAGACUCCUACGGGAGGCAGCAGUGGGUAAUAUUGGACAAUGGGCGAAAGCCUGAUCCAGCAAUGCCGCGUGAGUGAUGAAGGCCUUAGGGUUGUAAAGCUCUUUCACCCGGGAUGAUAAUGACAGUACCGGGAGAAUAAGCUCCGGCUAACUCCGUGCCAGCCGCCGCCGUAA